RNAcentral lists this ribosomal RNA (402 nucleotides) under uncultured prokaryote. RNAcentral's name for it is "bacterial SSU rRNA". It matches the Rfam family "Bacterial small subunit ribosomal RNA", at positions 355 to 774 of the family's 1533-position model. The record is from RNAcentral.
UGGGGAAUAUUGGACAAUGGGGGAAACCCUGAUCCAGCCAUGCCGCGUGAAUGAUGAAGGCCUUCGGGUUGUAAAAUUCUUUUGGUGGGGACGAUGAUGACGGUACCCACAGAAUAAGCUCCGGCUAACUUCGUGCCAGCAGCCGCGGUAAUACGAAGGGAGCUAGCGUUGUUCGGAAUUACUGGGCGUAAAGGGCGCGUAGGCGGUAAGAAUAGUCAGGUGUGAAAGCCCUGGGCUCAACCCAGGAAUUGCGCUUGAUACUGUCUUGCUUGAAUUCGGUAGAGGUGAGUGGAAUUCCCAGUGUAGAGGUGAAAUUCGUAGAUAUUGGGAAGAACACCGGUGGCGAAGGCGGCUCACUGGACCGACAUUGACGCUGAGGCGCGAAAGCGUGGGGAGCAAACA